UUUGAAUUCAUAUUGGUCCUCCUGCAACUUAAAUAUUGAAAUUUGUGUUUGAUUUCUCGAAACUAUUAAAUGAAGAAGACUUACCGACUUUCCAGAUUAUUCCAUCUUCCCUGUCGACAUAGUAGAAGAUGCUGGAAGUCUUUAAACUUCUUACCUAUCUAGCGCCAAGACUAAAAAUGAAUCUAGAAGCCAUUUUCACUGCCAUAUUGGAAGAAGCUAUUGAAACAUGAUUUGACAUGAGUGCUCUUAGACCAAUAUUUGAGGGUGCUCUUAGACCAAUAUUUGAGGGUUAUAUUUUAUCCAGCACCUUGAAGUUUAAUUAAGGGGCAUUUUUAAAAAUGUCCAAUUUUAAUGAUAUGAGUUGAAAAGUGUCCAUCCAUUUGAAUUUAGUGCCAAUUUAUCUAUUAUGCCCUUAAUGAAAAGUUACAUUUUAAAAUGAUAUUCUCAAUAUCUGAUUUUUUAUCAAUUUGUCACGAAUUUUGAGAAGUGACUUCCAGGAAAAGUUACAUUAAAAUAAUGUUUCUCGACAUUUCAUAUGUCAUUAUUGAUAUAUGAACACCGUUUCAUUUGUCUAGAAUGACAUUUCAUUUUGAACAUGACAUUUCUCUACAUUUAAAAAUAUCGUUGUUCUCAACAUUUCUGAAUCAAUGAAAAACAUAGCAUUUAUUGUGAUUUGACAUGUAUUCUUUUUGAAACAAAAAUGGCAGGUUAUGUGUCAAAAUUUUAUUGGCCAAUAGCAAUAUUGCAAAAAUGUCCAUUUUUUUGUCAUAGUGUGGAAUUAUAAAUUGUUAAUUAGGGUAUUUUGGUUUAAAUUCUUCCAAAUUAGACAUUUUUGCAAUGAUGGACAUUUUUGGAAAUGACUAGGUAAAAAUGGACAUUUUGUGUAAUUUCCUCUUUAAUUAACUUCUUCUAGGCUAUUAAGUUCCUAUCUGGAAACCGUCAUCUACAUUGAUACACUUUAAAUCUUAAUAUUAUAUACUAUCCAGUCAUCUCUGCAAUGAGGACACAUUUCCUGUUAAAUACCAAUAACUACUGUAAUUUAACAAAUAUAGUUUUGUUGGUAAGUUUUGAAUGAAAUAAUUUGCAGCAAUCCUUGGAUCAAGGUUUUAUAUAGUGUCUAUUUCAAGUUCAGAUAUUCUUAGCCUGUAGCUAUGUGCCAUGCUUCAGGCUAUGUAACUAGCAAUGUCUCUUUUGCUGUUGUUGCUGUCUUAUUCACUCACGCAAUUAAAGGUGACGCUCAACCUAAUUUGCAGGAUUAAUUCAAAAUUGAACUAAAUUCAUAUUUUUUAAACUGACACAAUUUAUUUUGCAAAAUUUCUCUUAUUAUUUAUGUUUCUUUUUAAUCAUCUCUUGAGCCUUUUUUACAAUGUUGCUGCUUCACAAUUCAUACUUGGGCAACAAAUACCUUUCACAUUAUGGUUGUCAUUGGCACCUGUUGUUAUUGGUAAGGUAUAAUAUUCUUCCAAGUUUAACUUGCAACUAUAACUCUAGUUCUCCAAUAACUUAAAUGAAAGCCCAAUUUCGCAUUGCUUUGGACAAUUUCAUUUGGGAAACAGGGGGAGACUGAAAGCAUAAAAGAAACGGGAGAAAAGAAGAAGGAAAAAAAAAAGAAAAGAAAAGUAGGAGGAGGAAAAGGAAGAGGAAGGCAUCGAUCUCAGUGUGUUAACUCGAGCUUGAGGUUCAUCUUUUGUUCUUUAAGAAGCAAGCAAAUAAAUUAUUAAGGGACGAGUAAUGUUAAAUAUUCUAGGGUUUUAAUUUGUGGUUUAAAUUUACAGAUUGAAGAAAACGAGUAUCUUCUCAAGCUCCUUGAUUUGCUAAUUUUCAUUUGCAUAAAGGUAAAAAAAUAUCAUUUUAGAAAUAGAACUUCUAAUUGGAUACUCCAAGAAGUGAGUGUAGUUGGCGAAAAUGAAUGCGUUAAUAGAUAAUCACUUAAAAAAAGAUGUAUGGACUGGAAUGAAAAUUAAAUCGG
RNAcentral lists this long non-coding RNA (1969 nucleotides) under Olea europaea subsp. europaea. The record is from RNAcentral. Lineage: Eukaryota; Viridiplantae; Streptophyta; Magnoliopsida; Lamiales; Oleaceae.